AUCCAGGAAUCCGAGGGAAGAGCGUGGGGACUAGUGAUGCUGAGGGAGUGGCUGGAGGAAGUGUCAGCCGCUGUGUGCCGGAUACCGAUUUGACAAGAUCAAAGCUGCAGGAAAAUGGACAGUGAGGUUCAGAGAGAUGGAAGGAUCUUAGAUUUGAUUGAUGAUGCUUGGCGAGAAGACAAGCUGCUUUAUGAGGAUGUCGCAAUACCACUGAAUGAGCUUCCUGAACCUGAACAAGACAAUGGUGGCACGACAGAAUCUGUCAAAGAACAAGAAAUGAAGUGGACAGACUUAGCUUUAUAGUAUCUCCAUGAGAACGUGCCCCCCAUUGGAAACUGACACUUGGCUCCUUUCUUGCUGACGAAUUUUCUAAAAGUACACAGAUAAAAAAUGUUUUGUUUCAGUCUCCUACUUCAAAUAUUUGAGUAAUAAAUCAGCACUCAAAAA
This is an RNA transcript of Sapajus apella (tufted capuchin), 447 nucleotides long. It is a transcript of the gene named anaphase-promoting complex subunit 13 pseudogene, with no coding region annotated. The record is from RefSeq and is a predicted model, not a curated record. The transcript has a single exon. NCBI's taxonomy places the organism in Eukaryota, Metazoa, Chordata, Mammalia, Primates, Cebidae.